CUACUGCCACUGAAACCCACAGAACUAUAUAUGAGUUUUUCUUCUUUAAUUACGUGCAAUUCAAUAUAUCAAACAUAUCAUUAACGAUUUCUUUAUAGUACUAAUGUAGGGUUUCAUGUUGCAGAAGCAGAAGCAGAAGCUGCGGGUAGGAACAUGAAUGUGCAAUCGACUCAUUCAAAUUGUUCAAACAGUUCCCGUCACUUCUAUUCCCAGCAAACAAACCGUCAACAAUUUUACCGUCAGGGAUUCAUUAGUAACAACACGUUCCACGAUGAAAAUCGCGGGAGUUGUUGCGAUUUGGAGAUUGCCCCAAGAGCCUCCACCGGGCCAGCGACAUGGUUCGUCAAACUUCUAUGUCAUCAUUCUUCUGUUAAGUACGAUUUUUAGUAACAUUAUAUUUUAGCGUUCUCUAAGAAAUUACUAGGUAUGAUUUUCUCGAUGCUUUGAUUUGAAGGCAAGAGCUCCAACAGAAAUCAGACAAAAAGAACACUUUUCUGCCAUUAGCAUACUCCAAUGUAACAACACGAGGAUAUGAACAUGGAUUCACUGUUUCAAAAUCUAUCAUGUUCAAGGACUUUCUGGGCAGCUCCAAUUCUCAAGUAAUAAUUAAACACUUCUCUUUAACUCAUUCUCAGACUCAACCAUGCAUCCAAUUUAGCAAGAAUCAAGAAUGUCUCAAUGAGGAAAUUCAGUGGCUCUAAUUAUGCUUUAUAUUUUCAGGGUGGUGAGUCGAAGAAACAAAUGUUGGCAGCAGUGGAGGAUGGUAACAGUUUCAAGUGGCUUCCAAAUUCCUUGGCAGAAGAAUCUGUGGGUACUUUGCCUUUGAAAUUAGCUUUAGAAUCAUCCGUCUCCAAGGACGGUGCCAAAGAUGUUUCUCUUGAGCUAACUCUUG
Molecule: long non-coding RNA, 892 nt
Filed under: Olea europaea subsp. europaea
Lineage: Eukaryota; Viridiplantae; Streptophyta; Magnoliopsida; Lamiales; Oleaceae
Source: RNAcentral